RNAcentral lists this ribosomal RNA (460 nucleotides) under uncultured bacterium. Its description in RNAcentral is "partial 16S ribosomal RNA". It matches the Rfam family "Bacterial small subunit ribosomal RNA", at positions 338 to 795 of the family's 1533-position model. The record is from RNAcentral.
CCUACGGGAGGCAGCAGUGAGGAAUAUUGGUCAAUGGGCGCGAGCCUGAACCAGCCAAGUAGCGUGAAGGAUGACUGCCCUACGGGUUGUAAACUUCUUUUAUAAAGGAAUAAAGUGAGGCACGUGUGCCUUUUUGUAUGUACUUUAUGAAUAAGAGUAGGCUAACUCAGUGCCAACAGCCGCGGUAAUUCGGAGGAUCCGAGCGUUAUCCGGAUUUCAUGGGUGUAAAGGGAGCGGAGAUGGGUUGUUAAGUCAGUUGUGAAAUUUUGCGGCGCAACCGUAAAAUUGCAAUUGAUACUGGCAGUCGUGAGUACAGUUGAGGUAGGCGGAAUUCGUGGUGUAGCGGUGAAAUGCUUAGAUAUCACGAAGAACUCCGAUUGCGAAGGCAGCUUACUAAACUGCCACUGACAUUGAUGCUCGAAAGUGUGGGUAGCAAACAGGAUUAGAUACCCGGGUAGUC